Molecule: ribosomal RNA, 301 nt
Filed under: uncultured bacterium
Lineage: Bacteria
Description: partial 16S ribosomal RNA
Rfam family: Bacterial small subunit ribosomal RNA
Source: RNAcentral
CAGUAGCCGCGGUAAAACGUAGGUGGCAAGCGUUGUCCGGAAUUAUUGGGCGUAAAGGGCUCGCAGGCGGUUUCUUAAGUCUGAUGUGAAAGCCCCCGGCUCAACCGGGGAGGGUCAUUGGAAACUGGGAAACUUGAGUGCAGAAGAGGAGAGUGGAAUUCCACGUGUAGCGGUGAAAUGCGUAGAGAUGUGGAGGAACACCAGUGGCGAAGGCGACUCUCUGGUCUGUAACUGACGCUGAGGAGCGAAAGCGUGGGGAGCGAACAGGAUUAGAUACCCGAGUAGUCCCUGUCUCUUAUAU